This 216-nucleotide ribosomal RNA is filed under the name Glomeromycotina sp. RNAcentral's name for it is "partial small subunit ribosomal RNA". The stretch from base 92 to 216 matches the Rfam family "Eukaryotic small subunit ribosomal RNA", at positions 738 to 864 of the family's 1831-position model. Lineage: Eukaryota; Fungi; Glomeromycota. The record is from RNAcentral.
GGGUCAGUAGGUUGGUCGUGCCACCGGUACGUACUGGUCUCACUGAUUCCUCCCUCCUGAAGAACCGUAAUGCCAUUAAUUUGGUGUCGCGGGGAAACAGGACUGUUACUUUGAAAAAAUUAGAGUGUUUAAAGCAAGCUAACGCUUGAAUACAUUAGCAUGGAAUAAUGAAAUAGGACGAUCGAUCCUAUUUUGUUGGUUUCUAGGAUUGACGUA